UACGGAGGGUGCGAGCGUUAAUCGGAAUCACUGGGCGUAAAGCGCGCGUAGGCGGCUUUUCAAGUCAGGGGUGAAAUCCCACGGCCCAACCGUGGAACUGCCUUUGAAACUGUAGAGCUUGAGUGUCGGAGAGGGUGGCGGAAUUCCAGGUGUAGGAGUGAAAUCCGUAGAUAUCUGGAGGAACACCGGUGGCGAAGGCGGCCACCUGGACGACAACUGACGCUGAGGUGCGAAAGCGUGGGGAGCAAAUAGG
Molecule: ribosomal RNA, 253 nt
Filed under: uncultured bacterium
Lineage: Bacteria
Description: partial 16S ribosomal RNA
Rfam family: Bacterial small subunit ribosomal RNA
Source: RNAcentral